This 292-nucleotide ribosomal RNA is filed under the name uncultured bacterium. RNAcentral describes it as "partial 16S ribosomal RNA". It matches the Rfam family "Bacterial small subunit ribosomal RNA", at positions 505 to 796 of the family's 1533-position model. The record is from RNAcentral.
GUGCCAGCCGCCGCGGUACUACGGAGGGUGCAAGCGUUGUCCGGAAUCACUGGGCGUAAAGGGUGCGCAGGCGGGGCAGCAAGUCGGAGGUGAAAGCCCAUGGCUCAACCAUGGAAGUGCCUUCGAAACUGUUGCUCUUGAGUCCCGGAGAGGCUGUCGGAAUUCGUGGUGUAGCGGUGAAAUGCGUAGAUAUCACGAGGAACACCAGAGACGAAAGCGGACAGCUGGACGGGUACUGACUCUCAGGCACGAGAGCGUGGGGGGCAAACAGGAUUAGAAACCCCAGUAGUCC